CGUGAAGCUGGAAUCGCUAGUAAUCGCGGAUCAGAAUGCCGCGGUGAAUACGUUCCCGGGUCUUGUACACACCGCCCGUCACACCAUGGGAGCCGGAAACGCCCGAAGUCAGUGACCCAACCGUAAGGAGGGAGCUGCCGAAGGUGGAGCCGGUAACUGGGGUGAAGUCGUAACAAGGUAGC
RNAcentral lists this ribosomal RNA (182 nucleotides) under uncultured bacterium. Its description in RNAcentral is "partial 16S ribosomal RNA". It matches the Rfam family "Bacterial small subunit ribosomal RNA", at positions 1319 to 1500 of the family's 1533-position model. The record is from RNAcentral.